AUGCACUCGCUGCAUAACACAUUACUUUCUUCGAUUUAGAGUGAUUUUCACAACCUUGUUUCUGUAUUGUAUAUUUAGUUAGUGUUUGUGAUUACCAAAAAAAAAAAUUGUUUCUUCUUGGCUUAGUCUUUUUAUCUUUUUUUUUUUUUUUGCUUCAUCUAUUUUUCCUCCCAUGACAGAUGAAGACGGCAAGAGAUGCAGCAAAUCUCAUUUAUGAUCUAUCUGAAGAAUCAGCGUCAUCGAUUUGGAGACUCGAACCAUAACAAAAAGAGCAUCACAGUUUCAAUUUAAUUGCUCCUGGCGCUUCCUAUUUCAGCAACAAACAUUAAAUAAUUAAUCCAAUAGAGAUGAUAUAUAUGGAAAUUUCAAAACCAAAAAAAGAAACUUUCAAAACCAAAAUUGCGAAGCCAUAGAAAUCGUGGAUCAUGGAAUUGCGAAGACCAAUGUUGACAUAUGGGAAUUUGGUGUCCCAAUGAGCAGAGAUCACUAAGAUUGGUUUUCGGGAGGAACUUUUUGAGUUCAUGAUUUGAAGAAUUGUCUCGCCUAUAAGCUAUCGUCCAUAGUUUGAGAUUCAUGCGACAAGAAGAAGGUUUGAUUCACUUUCUCCAUUUAAUUGAAUCAUCUUCAUAGAUAUAUUUUCAUACUUAAUCAAUGUUUUUACCAAAAAAAUAAUGUUAUUUUAUUAUUUUGGUUUUAUGUGGUUUGGGAUUGGUGUAGAUUAUAAACCGAUUAAACCAAUGUUUUUGUGUUCUGAGAUUUCAAACUUUUGAACUAAAUAAAUAUACGUUUUGGGGAAUAUCCAAUAUCAAUAUGUAUCAUAGUUUGGACUCUAUCUAUUCCAGUAUGAUAAUUCCCGUGGAAAAAUAUAUCAUCGUCUCUAUUUUAUACAUGCACUUGCAACACAAACCAGCCAUAAAGUGGGUCUAUUCUUAUAAUUUAUGACAACAUGGAACACUAUCAUUGGGCCACGAUGCAAGGAGCGAAGGAC
RNAcentral lists this small RNA (988 nucleotides) under Arabidopsis thaliana (thale cress). RNAcentral describes it as "putative long intergenic non-coding RNA". Lineage: Eukaryota; Viridiplantae; Streptophyta; Magnoliopsida; Brassicales; Brassicaceae. The record is from RNAcentral.